AAAUGUCAAAAAUUAUGAGAAGAAAGGGACUGCAGUUUCUUCCUCUUUUUUUUUUCUUUCUUUUUUUACAGUAAGGGAGGCAGACUUUUAUGAUGUGUUAUGAAGCAAAGUCGUAACUCUAUCAAUACUUGUCUCUUGUUAUGGUAAAAAAAAUGUCAAAAACUCUGAGAGAAAAAGGACUGCAGUUUUUUUCCUUUUUUUUCUAUUCUUUUUUAACAGUAAGGAAGGUAACUUGAGGUCAAGAUAAGAGAUAAACAAAAAAAAGCCUGUUAACACGAAAUACUAACGGCCGCAGCUCAAGAAUGUGUUAUAAUAUGCAUCGUUUUCUCUCAACGUUUCCUUCCUCAGUGAUAAGCUUCAGGGUCAUACAAAUGGCCAGUCUCCGUUCUUUCCUGUUAAUAAUACGGAUGACAGCAGCUCAAUUAUGUGUCAGGAAAGUAAUCACAAUCUGAAAUUUUUGCAUCAUCUUGUCAGUCUUGUAAUGAAUGGUGAUAUGCGUCUUGCCAUUGAGGGUUUUUUGAUAGUCGUAAACAUGAAUUAGAAUAUUAUUAAGCAAUUGUUACAUUAUUUAUUUAGAGGUCUAUGAUUCCUGCCAUUGUUGAAUUCUGGGUAGUCCUAAAUAUAGUUCAAAGUUAUUAGACAGCUGUACCGUUUAAAUACUUCAGUAGUUUUGUUUUGACUUUUUAUACAGUUAUUGCAUGGGUUGAUUUUUGAGUAGUCAUAAAUAUAGACAGCUGUAUUGUUUAAAUAUUUCUCUAGUUUCGUAAUGACUUGUGAUAUAAUUCUUGUCGUUGAUAAUUAUGUAUUGUCGUAAAGAUAAAACAAAGUUACCAGCCAACUGUUAUGUGUAAAUGAUUCAGCGGUUUUUGUAAUGACUGUUUAUAUAUUCUUGCCAUUCUUGAAAGUCUGAUAGCCAUAGACAUGAAUCAAAACUCUUGUGCAACUGUUAAGUUUAAUCAUUUAGAAGUUUUAUGAUGACUGUUGAUAUCAUUCUUGCCACUAUGAAAUUCUCUAUCGUCGUAAAUAUACAAUGAAUUUACAGGACAACUAUUACGUUCCAAACAAUUAAUCGGUUUUGUAAUGGUUGUUGAUAUUGAUCUUGCCAGUGUAGAUAUAAUGGUAAUAGCAUAUGUAGUAGUAGUAGUAGUAGUAGUAGUAGUAGUAGUAGUAAUAGAAGUAAUAGUAGUAGUAAUAGUAGUGAUAAGAGUAGAUGAAGUAGAUUUGUUUGUAAUUCGAGUAGUCAUUUGUAUUUUCAUUUAGUUCAAUUAUUCAUAAUGCACACUUUGUUAGUAUUAUUUCUUACGAUAGAACAGUAUAUAUUAAAAAAAAUCAUAUAAAGUAUUUCACUCAUUAUUGGUAUUAUUAUUAGUAGUAGUUGUAGUAAUGUUAGUAGUAGUAGUAGUAGUAGUAGUAGUAGUAUAGUCAGUCUUAGUAUCAUUGUUAUCAUUAUAUUUAUCAUUAUUAUUAUUAUUAUUAUUGCUAUCAUUGUUAACAGCAUCUUUAUUAUCUUUAUUAUUAAAGCACACUAAUCUGUU
This is a long non-coding RNA of Eriocheir sinensis (Chinese mitten crab), 1535 nucleotides long. RefSeq lists it as uncharacterized. The record is from RefSeq and is a predicted model, not a curated record. NCBI's taxonomy places the organism in Eukaryota, Metazoa, Arthropoda, Malacostraca, Decapoda, Varunidae. The transcript is spliced from 2 exons.